Molecule: ribosomal RNA, 374 nt
Filed under: uncultured bacterium
Lineage: Bacteria
Description: bacterial SSU rRNA
Rfam family: Bacterial small subunit ribosomal RNA
Source: RNAcentral
AUUGAACGCUGGCGGCAUGCUUUACACAUGCAAGUCGAACGGCAGCACGGGGGCAACCCUGGUGGCGAGUGGCGAACGGGUGAGUAAUGCAUCGGAACGUACCGUGUAAUGGGGGAUAACGUAGCGAAAGUUACGCUAAUACCGCAUACGCCCUGAGGGGGAAAGCGGGGGAUCGUAAGACCUCGCGUUAUACGAGCGGCCGAUGUCGGAUUAGCUAGUUGGUGGGGUAAAGGCCCACCAAGGCGACGAUCCGUAGCGGGUCUGAGAGGAUGAUCCGCCACACUGGGACUGAGACACGGCCCAGACUCCUACGGGAGGCAGCAGUGGGGAAUUUUGGACAAUGGGGGCAACCCUGAUCCAGCCAUGCCGCGUGC